GUCUUUUAGAAAUUAAUUUAAAGUCAAAUCUGCCCAAUGAAUUAAAUUUUAAUGGCUGCAGUAAUUUAACUGUACAAAGGUAGCAUAAUAAUUUGUUUUUUAAUUAAAAACUAGUAUGAAAGAUUUGAUGAAAUAAAAUCUGUUUCAAUUAAAUUUAAAUUUAAAUUUUUAUUUAAGUAAAAAAACUUAAAUUUUUUUUAAAGACGAUAAGACCCUAUAGAAUUUUAUUUAUUAAUUAAAUUAAUUUUUUAAUAAAUUUAAUUGGGGAAAUAAAAAAAUUUAAUUAACUUUUUUUAAAAAAUACAUUAUUUUAUGUAUAAAAAUAAAAUUAUCUUAAAUUUUAAAUUUAAAAAAUUAAUUACCUUAGGGAUAACAGCAUAAUUUUUUUUGAAAGUUCAUAUUUAUAAAAAAGUUUAU
Molecule: ribosomal RNA, 417 nt
Filed under: Plesiobracon sp.
Lineage: Eukaryota; Metazoa; Arthropoda; Insecta; Hymenoptera; Braconidae
Description: partial 16S ribosomal RNA
Source: RNAcentral